ACACUGCUGACGAGUCCCAAACAAGACGAAACGGCUGUCCCCGGUGC
This is a non-coding RNA of Echinostoma caproni, 47 nucleotides long. The record is from Rfam. Lineage: Eukaryota; Metazoa; Platyhelminthes; Trematoda; Plagiorchiida; Echinostomatidae.